GACAGAGGGUGCAAACGUUGUUCGGAUUUACUGGGCGUAAAGCGUGUGUAGGCGGCUUGGCAAGUUGGAUGUGAAAGCCCACGGCUCAACCGUGGAAGCGCAUCCAAAACUGCUUCGCUCGAGUCUCGGAGAGGAAGGUGGAAUGCUUGGUGUAGAGGUGAAAUUCGUAGAUAUCAAGCAGAACACCUGCGGCGAAGGCGGCCUUCUGGACCAAUACUGACGCUGAGGAGCGAAAGCCAGGGGAGCAAACGGG
Molecule: ribosomal RNA, 253 nt
Filed under: uncultured bacterium
Lineage: Bacteria
Description: partial 16S ribosomal RNA
Rfam family: Bacterial small subunit ribosomal RNA
Source: RNAcentral